This 493-nucleotide ribosomal RNA is filed under the name uncultured bacterium. RNAcentral describes it as "partial 16S ribosomal RNA". It matches the Rfam family "Bacterial small subunit ribosomal RNA", at positions 28 to 507 of the family's 1533-position model. The record is from RNAcentral.
GACGAACGCUGGCGGCGUGCUUAACACAUGCAAGUCGAACGGUGAAGGGACCGGUUUUUGCUGGUUCUGGAUGAGUGGCGCACGGGUGAGUAACACGUGAGUAACCUGCCCCCUUCUUCUGGAUAACCGCAUGAAAGUGUGGCUAAUACGGGAUAUUCUGCGCCUGCUGCAUGGCGGGUGUGGGAAAGAUAUUGUUUCGGUGGGGGAUGGGCUCGCGGCCUAUCAGCUUGUUGGUGGGGUGAUGGCCUACCAAGGCGGUGACGGGUAGCCGGCCUGAGAGGGUGGACGGUCACACUGGGACUGAGACACGGCCCAGACUCCUACGGGAGGCAGCAGUGGGGAAUAUUGCACAAUGGGCGCAAGCCUGAUGCAGCGACGCCGCGUGAGGGAUGGAGGCCUUCGGGUUGUAAACCUCUUUCGCCAGUGAAGCAGGCCUGUCCCUUUUGUGGGUGGGUUGACGGUAGCUGGAUAAGAAGCGCCGGCUAACUACGUG